This 274-nucleotide ribosomal RNA is filed under the name uncultured Eubacteriales bacterium. Its description in RNAcentral is "uncultured Clostridiales bacterium partial 16S ribosomal RNA". It matches the Rfam family "Bacterial small subunit ribosomal RNA", at positions 71 to 339 of the family's 1533-position model. Lineage: Bacteria; Bacillati; Bacillota; Clostridia; Eubacteriales. The record is from RNAcentral.
CCGGAGUGCUUGCACUUUGGCAGACUGAGUGGCGGACGGGUGAGUAACGCGUGGGUAACCUGCCUUAUACAGGGGGAUAACAGUUGGAAACGACUGCUAAUACCGCAUAAGCCCACAGGUCGGCAUCGACCAGAGGGAAAAGGAGCAAUCCGCUUUGAGAUGGACCCGCGUCUGAUUAGGUAGUUGGUGAGGUAACGGCCCACCAAGCCGACGAUCAGUAGCCGACCUGAGAGGGUGACCGGCCACAUUGGGACUGAGACACGGCCCAGACUCC